This 434-nucleotide ribosomal RNA is filed under the name uncultured bacterium. RNAcentral describes it as "partial 16S ribosomal RNA". It matches the Rfam family "Bacterial small subunit ribosomal RNA", at positions 29 to 507 of the family's 1533-position model. The record is from RNAcentral.
AGCGAACGCUGGCGGCAGGCCUAACACAUGCAAGUCGAACGAACCUUUCGGGGUUAGUGGCGGACGGGUGAGUAACACGUGGGAACGUGCCUUUAGGUUCGGAAUAACUCAGGGAAACUUGUGCUAAUACCGAAUGUGCCCUUCGGGGGAAAGAUUAAUCGCCUUUAGAGCGGCCCGCGUCUGAUUAGCUAGUUGGUUGAGGUAAUGGCUCACCAAGGCGACGAUCAGUAGCUGGUCUGAGAGGAUGAUCAGCCACAUUGGGACUGAGACACGGCCCAAACUCCUACGGGAGGCAGCAGUGGGGAAUCUUGCGCAAUGGGCGAAAGCCUGACGCAGCCAUGCCGCGUGAAUGUUGAAGGUCUUAGGAUUGUAAAAUUCUUUCACCGGGGACGAUAAUGACGGUACCCGGAGAAGAAGCCCCGGCUAACUUCGUG